This 200-nucleotide ribosomal RNA is filed under the name uncultured bacterium. RNAcentral's name for it is "partial 16S ribosomal RNA". It matches the Rfam family "Bacterial small subunit ribosomal RNA", at positions 8 to 208 of the family's 1533-position model. The record is from RNAcentral.
AGAGUUUGAUCCUGGCUCAGGACGAACGCUGGCGGCGUGCUUAACACAUGCAAGUCGAACGGAAAGGUCUCUUCGGAGAUACUCGAGUGGCGAACGGGUGAGUAACACGUGGGUAAUCUGCCCUGCACUUCGGGAUAAGCCUGGGAAACUGGGUCUAAUACCGAAUAGGACCAUAAGGCGCAUGCCUAUUGGUGGAAAGC